AACGGUCUAUACCUGCGGUACCUGCGGAGGGAUCAUUAAUGAGAAGCUGCCCCUCGUGGGUAGACCUCCCACCCUCUGUGAACUUACCUUUGUUGCUUUGGCAGGCCCGUCCUCUGGACCGCCGGCUUCGGCUGGCCCGUGCCUGCCAGAGGAUUCCAAACCCUGUCUGUCAGUGUUGUCUGAGUCUAUAUGAAAUCGUUAAAACUUUCAGCAAUGGAUCUCUAGAUCGGAAGAGCACAC
Molecule: unclassified non-coding RNA, 240 nt
Filed under: soil metagenome
Description: partial contains 5.8S ribosomal RNA, internal transcribed spacer 2, and large subunit ribosomal RNA
Source: RNAcentral